Molecule: ribosomal RNA, 253 nt
Filed under: uncultured bacterium
Lineage: Bacteria
Description: partial 16S ribosomal RNA
Rfam family: Bacterial small subunit ribosomal RNA
Source: RNAcentral
UACGUAGGGGGCUAGCGUUGUCCGGAAUCAUUGGGCGUAAAGAGCGUGUAGGCGGUCCGGUAAGUCCGCUGUGAAAGUCGGGGGCUCAACCCUCGAAUGCCGGUGGAUACUGUCGGGCUAGAGUGCGGAAGAGGCGAGUGGAAUUCCUGGUGUAGCGGUGAAAUGCGCAGAUAUCAGGAGGGACACCUAUUGCGAAGGCAGCUCGCUGGGACGUAACUGACGCUGAGACGCGAAAGCGUGGGGAGCAAACAGG